RNAcentral lists this unclassified non-coding RNA (241 nucleotides) under uncultured fungus. Its description in RNAcentral is "partial contains 5.8S ribosomal RNA, internal transcribed spacer 2, and large subunit ribosomal RNA". The stretch from base 1 to 52 matches the Rfam family "5.8S ribosomal RNA", at positions 103 to 154 of the family's 154-position model. Lineage: Eukaryota; Fungi. RNAcentral also lists the same sequence under 1 other name. The record is from RNAcentral.
AACGCACAUUGCGCCCCCUGGUAUUCCGGGGGGCAUGCCUGUUCGAGCGUCAUUACAACCCUCAAGCUCUGCUUGGUAUUGGGCCCCGCCGGUUCCGGCGGGCCCUAAAGUCAGUGGCGGUGCCAUCCGGCUCCGAGCGUAGUAAUUCUUCUCGCUCUGGAGACCCGGCUGUGUGCUUGCCAGCAACCCCCAAUUUUUUAAGGUUGACCUCGGAUCAGGUAGGGAUACCCGCUGAACUUAA